GCGGANGGAUCAUUACCGAGUCUAAACAACUCAUCAACCCUGUGAACAUACCUAAAACGUUGCUUCGGCGGGAACAGACGGCCCCGUAAAACGGGCCGCCCCCGCCAGAGGACCCCUAACUCUGUUGCUAUAUGUAUCUUCUGAGUAAACAAGCAAAUAAAUUAAAACUUUCAACAACGGAUCUCUUGGCUCUGGCAUCGAUGAAGAACGCAGCGAAAUGCGAUAAGUAAUGUGAAUUGCAGAAUUCAGUGAAUCAUCGAAUCUUUGAACGCACAUUGCGCCCGCCAGUAUUCUGGCGGGCAUGCCUGUUCGAGCGUCAUUACAACCCUCAGGCCCCCGGGCCUGGCGUUGGGGAUCGGCGAGGCGCCCCCUGUGGGCACGCGCCGUCCCCCAAAUACAGUGGCGGUCCCGCCGCAGCUUCCAUUGCGUAGUAGCUAACACCUCGCAACUGGAGAGCGGCGCGGCCAUGCCGUAAAACACCCAACUUCUGAAUGUUGACCUCGAAUCAGGUAG
RNAcentral lists this ribosomal RNA (513 nucleotides) under Fusarium solani. RNAcentral's name for it is "eukaryotic LSU rRNA". The stretch from base 166 to 319 matches the Rfam family "5.8S ribosomal RNA". Lineage: Eukaryota; Fungi; Ascomycota; Sordariomycetes; Hypocreales; Nectriaceae. The record is from RNAcentral.